AUCUACCUCUCUCAUGUCCUUCGUUAGAAAGCUUUUUAAACUAACACUGCCCCGUCAUUUUUUACUAGCGAGACAACUUCAAAUCGCCACCAAAUUUCAACCACAUAAUCCCCAUAGUCCUUUAAAAACUAAAUCAUAACCAAUAUUCCCUAAAUCCUCUUCAUUUCUCUAUAAUUUUAGAUUUUAAAACAGGAUCCCUAGACUUGUGCAUUCCUUCGAUUCUUUAUCUAAAAGGUCUGACUCUAAAUAUUCGAUGAUGAUUU
This 263-nucleotide long non-coding RNA is filed under the name Nicotiana benthamiana. Its description in RNAcentral is "long non-coding RNA (NBEN_LNC016633)". Lineage: Eukaryota; Viridiplantae; Streptophyta; Magnoliopsida; Solanales; Solanaceae. The record is from RNAcentral.